GAUGAAGAACGUAGUGAAAUGCGAUAAGUAAUGUGAAUUGCAGAAUUCAGUGAAUCAUCGAAUCUUUGAACGCACCUUGCACCCUUUGGCAUUCCGAAGGGUAAGCUCGUUUGAGUGUCAUUGUACUCUCACACUUCUGAUCCUUUGGAUUGGGAGCGGUGGACUUGGGUGUUGCUGCUUUACUGUGGCUCACCUCAAAUGCAUUCGUGCAACUCUUGGUUGGACAUAGUACGGCGUGAUAAGUAUCUUCGCCGGCACCUCGCAAGAGGGUGGCUGAUCAGGAGCUCUGUGCUUUCCAACUGUCUUCAGACAACAACUGACAACUUGACCUCAAAUCGAGUAGGACCACCCGCUGAACUUAAGCAUAUCAAUAAGCGGAGGA
RNAcentral lists this unclassified non-coding RNA (382 nucleotides) under soil metagenome. RNAcentral describes it as "partial contains 5.8S ribosomal RNA, internal transcribed spacer 2, and large subunit ribosomal RNA". The stretch from base 1 to 120 matches the Rfam family "5.8S ribosomal RNA", at positions 35 to 154 of the family's 154-position model. The record is from RNAcentral.